Non-coding RNA from Podarcis lilfordi (Lilford's wall lizard), 22095 nucleotides. Lineage: Eukaryota; Metazoa; Chordata; Lepidosauria; Squamata; Lacertidae. The record is from the annotation of a GenBank genome assembly.
AUCCAAAGCGGGGAUGGGGGUGGGGGCGGACGGGGGCGCGAGGAUGGGAUGUGCUUGGGCUACGCCUGGUACACGCUUGUUAUUGGUUGUUAUGGCAGAUUUGAAAUUUCCUUUUUCCUUUUAGUAAUAGAUUAAAAAACCCAACAUUGUCAGCUGAAAUUUAGGUUACCAAAGCGCACUUUUCUUUCGAUUUUUUUUUAAAAAGGUCAUUUUAUACACUGAGCUAUAUAAGCUGUUUUUAAUAUUGGGUUCUAAUGCUUUAAUAUGCCUGUUGUCUUUGUCCAUGGAGUUUUCUUGGCAGGGAUACUGGAGUGGCUUGCCGGUUCCUACUCCAGGAGGAUCACGGUUGGUCAAAACUCUCCACUAUGCCCUGUCCGUCUUGGGUGGCCCUGCAAGGCAUAGCUCAUAGCUUCUCUGAGUUAUUCAAGCCCCUUUGAGAGCUGGACCAUAAAGAAGGCUGAUUGCCGAAGCAUUGAUGCUUUUGAAUUAUGGUGCUGGAGGAGACUCUUGAGAGUCCCAUGGACUGCAAGAAGAUCAAACGCAUCCAUUCUUAAGGAAAUCAGCCCUGAGUGCUCACUGGAAGGACAGAUCCUGAAGCUGAGGCUCCAAUACUUUGGCCACCUCAUGAGAAGAGAAGACUCUCUGGAAAAGACCCUGAUGUUGGGAAAGAUGGAGGGCACAAGGAGAAGGGGACGACAGAGAACAAGAUGGUUGGACAGUGUUCUUGAAGCUACGAACAUGAGUUUGACCAAGCUGCAGGAGGCAGUGGAAGACAGGAGUGCCUGGCGUGCUCUGGUCCAUGGGGCCACGAAGAGUCAGACAUGACUAAACAACUAAACAACAACAAUGCUUUAAUCUGCCCUGGGACUGUAGGAUGAAGAGUGGGUAAUUAAUCAUCAUCAUCAUAACCCAUCCUGGCACUUUAGAAUGAAGAGUGGGUAAACAACAACAACAACAACCACCCAUCCUGGCACUGUAGGAUGAAGAGUGGGCAAUUAAUACUACUACUAACCCAUCCUGGCACUAUAGGAUGAAGAGUAGGGAAAAUACCAACAGCAGCAGCAGCAGCAGCAACAACAACCCAUCCUGGCACUGUAGGAUGAAGAGUGGGUAAUUAAUAAUAAUAUUGUACAAAUCUUUUUCAGUACCCUAAAGUAUUGGGAGGAUGAGAUAUAGGCGCCUUCCCUUUGCUUAAUCACUAGUUUUACUGGGGUACAAUGCCAGCCUCUGCUAAAAGAAUUUGAGUGGUGCUGGUUAGCUGCUUAGCUGCAUUCAGGGGAUUGGUAGUGGUGUGCAAAGCCCUGGGCAAUUUGGGAACAGAAUACCUAAAAUAUUGUUUCAGCCAUUGUAUAUCCAGCUGAGCUUCCUACAGGUAUUGCCACAACAAGAGCUCUAUGAUGUACAAAUCAGGCCUUCAUUGUGGUGGCACCUGCCCUUUGGGACUCCCUCUUGCUGCACAUCAGACAGAUGCUGUCUCUUUUAUCUUUUUGGUGCUCACUGAAGACCUUCCUCUUCCAACAAGACUUUUAAGAAGAUUUAUAUCCCAGCCUUUUUUCUUUAUUGUAUUUUUAAAAAUAUUUUCAUUGCAGAUGAUUUUAUUGUAAAUCAUCCUGGGGUGUUUUAUGGGAAGUGAUUCAUAAAUUAAUGAAUCACAUAAGAAAUGACACUCUGAAAUAGCUAACCUUGUAGAAAAAUACGAGUGCAAAGUUAUUUGCAUUGCUAUUUGUGAAUGAAGUAUCUCAAGUGAACUUGUUUCAUGUUGCACGGACAUUACCGCAACAACCUUGUGGCAUUUACCCUUAUAGGCUGUGGUGUAAUUUCUCUUAAGUGCAGGAAGUAAGUCCCAUUGAACUCAUACAGAGUUCCCUGAACUGUCAUAAAUUCAUAUACAAAUACACAGUUCAUUGAACUGUCAACCACUAACCUUUUACAGGCUGUUACUUGGAACAUACAUGUUUAUUUAGCAAAAUGUAUACACCACUUGAUUGUAACAAAAUAUCCAAGCAGUUUACAAGAAAUAUUAAAUUGUCAGGAAAACAGUUAAAAACAAAUAAUGAAGAACAUUUUAAAACAAAAUCAGCAGUAAACUAAAAAGGGACAUGUCUCUAUAAAAGGUAAAGGUAAAGGACCCCUGACAGUUAAGUCCAGUCGCAGACGACUCUGGGGUUGUGGAGUUCAUCUUGCUUUUAAAGGCCGAGGUAGCUGGUGUUUGUCUGCAGACAGUUUUUCCGGGUCAUGUGGCCAGCAUGACUAAGCCGCUUCUGGCGAAACCAGAGCAGUGCACGGAAACGCCGUUUACCUUCCCACCGGAGCAGUACCUAUAUAUCUACUUGCACUUUUGGCGUGCUUUCGAACUGCUAGGUUGGCAGGAGCAGGGACCGAGCAACAGGAGCUCACCCUGUCACGGGGAUUCAAACCGCCGACCUUCUGAUCGGCAUGCCCAAGAGGCUCAGUGGUUUAGACCACAGCGCCACCUUGCCUAAACAAAAAUGUUCCAAGCAGGCGCCAAAAAGAAUACAGAGAAGGUGCUGACCUGAUGUCAAUAGGCAGGAAGUUCCGAAGUGUAGAUGUUGCUACUCUGUAGCAAAGGGAAGUGCCACUGCUGUGGCUGCUGCAGUGGCAGUAGUGGCAUCUUCCACUGCUGCCAUCCUUGUUGAGAAAGGGGCCUGCAGUGAAGCAGGUUUGCUGCUGCUGCUCACCAACUGCAGUGAGAUUGCUCUGGACGGUGCAGACAAGUUUGACCCCUUCCUGCUGCGGAGUUGGUGAGGCAUGCAGCUGUAGCUGUCAUGGCAGCUGUGGGUGGAAGACAGGAGGCUGUGAAGAGCACCUGACCUCAGCACAGCUGCAGGAUCCACCCUACUUAGCCCAUCCGUGCCAUGCUGUGACUUCCUUCUUCCCCCCCAACCCCUACCUCAGCUGUAUGACACUAGUCCUGAAAAGUGGACCUCUCCACCUUUUCCAACAGGAGGAGCAUCAGCUCAUAGGAGACAAGCAGAUCAGCACUGGACACACACACACUGCCCCAUGCAUCUACUAGAAGUGCAUCUGGGUCCUAAUAGAUCAUUGCUUCUAUUUUGUCUUUUGUAAUACAGUGGUACCUCGGGUUACAGACUCAGUUCGUUCCAGAGGUCCGUUCUUAACCCGAAACCGUUCUUAACCUGAGGCGCACUUUUGCUAAUGGGGCUUACUGCUGCCGGCACGCUGUUGGCGCACGAUUUCUGUUCUCAUCCUGGGGCAAAGUUCUCAACCCGAGGUACUACUUCCGGGUUAGUGGAGUUUGUAACCCGAAGUGUUUGUAACCUGAGGUGUUUGUAACCCAAGGUACCGCUGUACUUAAAAAAUGUUAUCUGUGUGAAGUAUUAAAAUGGCUAUUCUUCAGGGUCUAGCCUUCAUCUCAGAAAAUCAUGAAAUUAAAUAUUUGAAUGGAAGGCAAAUGCAUCUUUAUCUCAGUGGACUGGCAGAGACAGGAAGACAAAAAGCAGUUUUUGACAUAGCUAAAAGCUUGUUUGAGAAAAGGCUUCAUGCUCCAUUUGAACGCAUGUUCCUUUUGCCCCAGUUAAACAGGUUUUUAAAACAAUACAGAAACCAGUUUAUGCAACGGAAAUGUGGGAUAAAUGUACACACCAGAAAAUGCCAUCUGACUGUUGGACAGUUUUCAGCUUUCUGUCCACAACCAAAAUGUCAGUGCAUUCCUUUCCUUCCAGCUCCUCACAAUCACCUACUAUCUAAAUUACCGUACCUACGUUGCUAAAUGUUUUUAUUUAGCUGCAGUUAUUCUGUCAUUAAGUAUGACCAAUCCACUGAAAUGAAAUAAUCUAGAUUGUUUAAACUCUUGUUAGUGAGCCAGCAUGAAGGACUUUGGACCAAAGGUAGGUCCAUAUAUUACAAAUACUCGAGCAAUGUAAUGUUUCCUCUGAAGUAUUCUUUGCUGGACACUUUGGAGAAAGGACAAUGAAGUAAAUUGGCCUGUGAUCAAAUCCAAAAAGUAGCACCAAUCUUCUUCAUUUAAUGGCAUCUAGUGGCAAUUCAUACUUUCCAGAAGUGACCAGGCAAGUGGCGACCUGUCAGGCUAGUCUAUGCAAAAAUGUAAUUUCUUUUCUUUUAUACAUAAAUAACAUUUCCCUCCUAAAGAUGCAUUAAUUAAUCUCGAUCCAUACCUUAUGUAAUGCCACCUGAUUUAAUGCAAAUUAACUGUUCUCAAAGCAAAUUGGAAUCAGAGAACAGCCUGAACAUUUGUUUCUCAUGUUUUCUUUCCUUAUCUGAUCAGACAGCAUUUUCUGUCGUGAUUGUUAAGUGUAGCUAAUUCAAUCCCAAGGCUACAAACUGUGUGCCAGCUUGGACAGAAAGCCUUAAUAUUUUUUGCAGGCCAACCAUAUCUUUGAUUCUUCCCUGUUCUUCUGUAUUUGGAAAGAUUAUAAGAUUUGGUCCAAAAGUUUUUCGUUGAAGGAGAAAGGGGAGAAAAAUAAUGCUAGAAACUACUUGUGUGUUGCAAGAAAAGAGUGUUCAUCUCUCUACAGAAGGGGUGGCCAACCCAUGUUCCAUGGGCCGCAUGCGAUCCCCCAUAGGUUUUGUGGUGCUUCCCCAGGACCCCUCCAAAAUGUGUAAUUUCUCAAAAUAAUUAAUUUUAAAAUUAUUUUUAGCAAAUCCUUUGUUUCCCUUGAUGUGAUGCUAUGAUGUCAAAAGGUUUUUUUUUUGUAGACCCUCAAGAGCACCCCAAUUUUUUAAAAAGUUUCAAAAAAAUUUACAUUUUUUCUUGAUUUCUCCCAUAGGUCCCCCACUGUGAUGCCAAAAUAGUUUUUGUAUCCACCAAGGCCUCUUGUGCCUCAUUUGCUUUGAUUGUUUGCUCUUUUUUUGCUGACCGCUCUUGUGGGUUCGCUGCUGCAAUUAUGUGCUGCCAAAGAGUUUUUGUAACUGCCCCGCCCCCCCAAAAAGUGUAUUUCAAAAAUGACUACACUCACUUUUACACUUUGGACCUGCAAAGUUUGACAUAAGGGAAUUUUAUUAUUGAUUUUUAAAUAAAUUUAAAGCAAAAAAGAAUAAAGAGAAUAUGAGAGAUGGAGAAAAAAAAAGGAAAGACACCCUCUCAUUAAAAAUAUAAUAACCUUUGAUACAUCCACACAAAGAAUGGUUUCAAAUGUAAGAAGGGCAGUGAGGCCCUUGGACCAUUGCAGAAUACAGUGGUACCUCGGGAUACAGAUGCUUCAGUUUGCAGACACUUCAGGUUACAGACUCCGCUAACCCAGAAAUAGUACCUCGGGUUAAGAACUUUGCUUCAGGAUGAGAACAGAAAUCGCACGGCAGCAGUGGGAGGCCCCAUUAGCUAAAGUGGUGCUUCAGGUUAAGAACAGUUUCAGGUUAAGAACAGACCUGCAGAACAAAUUAAGUUCUUAACCUGAGGUACCACUGUAGAUGGUUCAAAGAUAUUUCAACGUGAGGAUUGACCAUGGUUCAUGUGACACUUGAUAUACGAUGGUCAAUUUUUAGCUUUAUAAGCCAAACUGAAACUGAAACUUUGGAAAUAGGGGCUGUGUCUUGAAGGAAACAGGCAGCACUUGCUUGCAAUACCCCCCCCCCCCCGGUAUUAUAGAGUAGGCAGGCUCCAUUUUGUCCUGUUUCGGAAGAAGCAAAGUGGAGCAAUUAUUACUGUGAUUUGAAUAUUCAAGAAAAGGGGCUUUCUCUCCAUCUUGACUUACUCUUUUCCUUGUUCGUCACUUCAUGUUAUGCCUGCCUGCUUCCAGUCACAGAGGAAAUGUUCAGGCUCCCAUUCCCCUCCCUGCCCGUGGCCUGCCAAUGCUAAUGAAUGGCAUGUGUCUGCCUUGCAGGGUACCUUCAUCCAAACUGCAGAUCUAUUUCACUGGUGGGCUGGUAGCGUUUUAGACAAUUCCUAAUUAAAGAACUAGAGAAAGGAGAUGGAAAAACCUAUUAGGUCAUCCAGUUCCCACACAGUAAUGCCCUAUUCAGGUUUGUUCCCCACAGGACAUUUUCUUCUCCUUUCCAGAGGGGGCACUACAGGUCAGACUCAGUGCUAUUUUUAUUAAACAGUCCUCCCAGAUUUAAGAAACUUCAGGAAAUUUCAGCAGCAAGUUGGCUGCUGGAUUAUUACAGUCUACAUUUUUGAAGUCAUAACUAUUAAUUCUUUGUGGCACUGGGAGAUACCUUGGGGCAAAAAAACCACCCACAUUAUAGUUAGAUCUACAGCCUCUCACAAAAUGAAACUGGAAGACACAGGCUAUAAUCCUAAACCAACUUUCUGGCACAAACUCUAUUCCCUGCUUUGAAAAGCCUUGACAAAUCUGAUUGCCAGUGGCAACUGCUUCUAUCAACUGCACCUGCCCUGACAAAAAUACUGAGCAGCACGCAGAUCCCCACUUCCUUCACGAUUUUGCAAAUUGGAGAGAAUUUGCAGGUCUCAUGCGCACCUUUAGGACAGGCAGAAUAGCUCCCUUUUGAGUUCUCUGGCGUGAACUUGGGGGAUAGGUGGGGAUCUCUCAAUUCCUGCUGAGCUUCGGAGGUGUUUCCACCUGUCUCUUUACUUACUGGAAUAUUUAUAAUCCACACUUUGAUUACAGCAUAUAAAGGCGGGACACAUCACACAAAAUAUAAUUAAAAAAAGGCAUCCAUUAAAACAUAAUUCAAAAAAUCAGGAAAUACUGGUUGCGCAACAGAUAAAUUCCUGUUGUGAAGCCCUGUCUAAACUAUACAUUUUUCAGAAGACGUCUGAAAGAGCUGACAUCUGUUGCACAGUCCACCACAAUAUGAGACCUCCUCCUGAAUCCUCUGCAUGCUAGGGAACUUGGGGGCUGCCCUUUUAAGGGGUGGGGCAGGCAGAAACAGAGACAUCCCUGCUGCUCCUGCCUCCUCCAAGCCCAGUGCAAUAUGGGAGACCUCUCACUUCCCCAAGUCCUCUGUGUGUGCCAGAGGAGGUGUGUGCAUAUGUGCGAGGCGGUUGGUUGGUGAUGCCCAUAAAAAAUGAUUGCUCCUCUGUGGUCAUGGGGAAACUCAGCAGCAUGCAAUCUGGGAGAUUACCCUUGAAUUCUGAUUUGGAGGUAGAGUUCUUGAUGACAUUUCAUUGUCAUCAGAUUAUGUUAUCAGAAUGGGAGUAGGCUCACCCACUCGGGUAUAUUUCCUUUGUAAGCAUGGAUCUUGAACCCUUGCUGGGAAAAAGCAGCUUGUGCAAUGAGGCUAAAGUUGGAUGAGGAAAGUGCUGGGAGAGGGAAGGGAGUGCCCUCCUCCUGCUUCCUGCCUCUUGCUCGAAAUUGUACCUUCCUGAUACUUCUUUGCAAAGGUGAAGCAACAGCCAGCAUUUAAAGGCACAUGGUGGAAUCAGCAUAUGUAGUUUUGCCCGGAUGGACCAUUGGAACAUUCUCUUGGAAAUGAUGCAUUUAGAAUAUAUAAUGGGAAUCUUUGCUUCCAUUUCAAUUUAGGAUAAGGCCUUAAAGCCCACAAAAAGGCAUAACGGUGGGAAAAUAUGAAUAACAGAGGAUGAUGGCACACUGAAUAGGGAAAAGGGGGAACUGGCCUCAAGAUGAAAAAGUGGACUUGAAAACAACAUGUUUAUAUCGCCAAGGUUUCUUGGUUUUCCCAGUGGACAUGGCUAUUUUUCAUAGUAAAACAACCAAGUCAUAAUUUUAUUAGAUUUCCUUCAGGCUAAGUGUAAACAAGUCAAAUCCAGUGGGGAAAUUAAUUGAAAUGUAUUUUGCAACAACAUUCUAGUCUAAAAUGAUUUAUUCUACUACAACGUUUGUUCAAUAAAGGAAAAGUAAGUGAAGAUUUAAAGAAUAAGGUUAAGAAAGCAAACAUUUGAAAGCAAAGAAAUCCAAAAUUAAACAGUUCCUUCCCUCGGGGGCUAGCACAUGUCCUUUCCUUUGCAUUGUGAAAGAGGUGUUAAAACAAACAGCAACUUAAACCAAAAUAAUUGGACACUUUAAAUGAAGUUCACAAAUAUCAAAUAAAAUAACCGUUAUUAUGUUGUUUCAUUUAUUCACAUUUCUCACAAACUAUUAAUUUAUGGAUUGUGAAUACAGUGGUACCUCGGGUUAAGUACUUAAUUUGUUCCGGAGGUCCGUUCUUAACCUGAAACUGUUCUUAACCUGAAGACCACUUUAGCCAAUGGGGCCUCCUGCUGCUGCCACGCCGCUGGAGCACGAUUUCUGUUCUCAUCCUGAAGCAAAGUUCUUAACACGAGGUACUAUUUCUGGGUUAGCGGAGUCUGUAACCUGAAGCAUAUGUAACCCGAGGUACCACUGUAUAUUAGGUAUGCCUUCCUUAUUUUGCACUUUCCUCUGCUUAUUCCUUUUGUGCUUACCUCAUUUACUGGUGCAGAUUUAAUGCUAUUGUGCUGGCCACUUGGGUGUGGUGGGGCGGUGGCAGGAAUGGUUCAGUUUUCAGUUCUUUUGCUUUUUGGCAGCUAUCUUUGCAAUUAUGAUUUUUGGCAUUGCAAUUAUUUGUGUACUUGGUAUGCCAGAUAGCUAACAAGAGUAUCCUGCAGUUAAAUAUAUCUGAUAUUUGCUCCUAAAUAGAAAGCAACUGUGCUAGUACUUGCCUUUAUUUCGAGACAUUCCUUAACUCUCUGAAACCUCCCACCACCAUCCCCUUCCCUCCAGCAGUUUCUGCCACUACAAAUCUCAUUUCCUUCUCACUGUGUAGGAGCACAUUUUCCUCAGGAGGACAUAGCCCUAUGCCUACAUUCAUUUGCAGCCCCUCAGCACUAUUCUUCACCGCUAUCCCUUCAGCCAACAAAACCUGGUUCCUCAACUGUCCUUCCUCUAUGAAAACAGAAUAUUUGGAAGGAGGGAAAAGGAAAAAAACUGACAUUCAAAUGAAGAUUGCCACUAAGCAUUGGGAAAUUUUCUUAUUUUUAUCUGCCUAUUUAACAAUUAUUAUAUGGCUUGUAAAAAGCGUCAGAAUAAGUGGUUUACAAAAACCCAAUAUUAAAAGUAUCAGUGAAUGACAGUUGAAAACAGGGAUUUAAAAAUAUUGAAUUCUUGGUGUGAGUGGGCAAGAGAGGGAAAAGGGGCCUGAAACCUGAGGACAGGUCUGGCUCAGCACGUCUUCACCUGAGGAAAUAUAGGUGAUACGUUACCAUGGGAACUAAUUCUUAGACUAAUUCUUAGUUGGAGACAGUUUGGGAAAGCUCCCUGGGGAAAGUGAGCUCAGAAAGCCAUUUCCCCACAGAUGGGGACUGGAUUCAAGAAGUACCAUUUCCUUAAGGAGCUGGGUAAGGAAAUCAGCCUUUUCUCAGUCAUGCUUCAUGAAGGAAGUGUAGGGAAGCUCUGUAGUUCCUCCAACAAGCUUCCUGCCUGGACUAGGAUUGCUCAGGGUAUGACUUUCCCUUAUCCCAGCUUCCACUAUUGUAGCCCGGAAGACCAAUCUGACCCUCUCUGGGUCGUCCCCCCCACACUUUUCAGUGAGUACCACCAUGAUGAUCUUCUUUAGGCCUUCUUAUGACUGCUUCAGCUGGAUGGCUUUAAUCUUCUAUCCAGUUCUUUGUGCUUUGUGUGUGGCUUAUGGACAAGCCCAAUAGAAUUUGCGUUCUCCCUUUUCUCCUUUCGCCAUCUUGUCUUGCUAAUGAACUAUCAAUUUCUUCUUCCUUUCAAGCCUGGAAGAAGCAACAGUAUUUUAUUUAUUAGUUUCUUUGAAAAAAGAAAAUCAGUAUACAUUAUUUGGCAAACUGAGUAACAAAUAAUAACAAAAACAGGCCAAUUGGAUCUCUUUCCAGUUUCUGAAAUCAAUGUACAAUUUUAGCUUCCCUGUUUUGGGUGGCUUCACCGAUUGCACAUCUUUUUACUGAUGUUUUCUCCAAGCCUUCCCUUUGCACACUUUACAGAGUUUGAUUCACGUUUUCAGGCAGUUACUGAUAGUUGCCAGCUUGGAAAAGAUCCGAUAUUAAUUCCCCAAUGUUAUUCUGAUCCUUCUAAAUUGGCCAGAGCAGGUGACUUUUGGGUGACCUCUGGAAGGAUAAAGCACUGAGUAAAGAGAAAAUUGGAAGAAAAAUAUUGAUGUUUUUGAUUUUAUAAAAUCUUAAUGGGUGGAUGUGAGAUUUAAACAAAGAUUCAAAUUGGUUGGAUUAGAAAUUUUAGGUGAAGGUUCAUGUUGACAGUUAUGUCAUCCAAGCCAGUUUACUUCAUUUCUAAUCAAUGUGUGUACCCUUUGCUCUGCAUUACACAUUUCCCAAUGAAUGUUUGUUGAUACUGCGAUGGAGACAUUUUCAUUACUCAGAGACCUGUGGCCUGUGAGAGGUGGGAACUGCUGUGAAAUACAGAACUCUUUGGUUCUUCUCCGCUCAAGAAAUCACAGGCCUUUUAGUCAGGUGGGUUUAAUCUCCCAGGAAAGUUUCAUGAGAAUAUGUUUGAAAUAUUGACUAUCCUAGGGAAGGAUAGUCAUCUUUUAACCCAGAUCUUGGAGACCCCUAGCAAAGUUUAUUGCUGGUUCUAAGUCUCGGGGGACUGCUCCACCACAAUUUAUCUCAUUUUACACCUGUCUAACUCAUUUCUCAUUUCCACUCUUCCUGCUUUCUCUGGCAUAGGGUAUCUGGUUCAUGUAAACGUUCUGAGCCAUUGUCUGAAAGUAGUAAUGUACUGGAUGGAUGUUAAUAAAUUGAAAUUUAACCCAGAGAAGACAAUGGGGGCUGCUAGACUAUUACUAUUUUACAGUAGGAUUCAAUCACAUACCGGCCCUUUCUUGGUGCAAUGCUGCCUAACCUCAGAAACAAACUAGGAUGAAUGCUCAAUAAACAGGUUGUCUGAAAGUGCGCAAAUGUCAGGACUGCUGAUAUGGAAAGAGGAAAUCAACCCAUCUUGGAUGGGGUAACACUUCCUUGAAGACUCAGGUUUGCACUUGUGAAGUAUUCCUGGAUCCUGCCUCCUCGUUCCUUGAUGCUCAGGUGGUGGCUAGGAGUGACUUUGCCCAGCUUAGGCUGGUACGUCAGUGUGUCUAUUCCUGGAGUGGUCCAGUCUGGUUGGGGCUACACACGUCUUAGUUACAUCAAGACUGGAUGACUGCAAUGUGCUCUAUGUGCAGCUACUUCUGAGGUGUGUUUGGAAACUUCAGCAGUCCCAUACUGUGGCAGUCAGAAAGCUGAUAUGAACUAGACCUUGGAAGCUUGCAAGUCUCAUUAAAAGAGCCACAAUGACUUCUGGUUCAUUUCUGGGCAUAGUUCAAAGUGCUGAUCAUUAACUUUUAAAGAUUAUAAAUGAUUUUGGAUCAGAGCAUCUAAAGGACUGUCUGCUCCAGGUUCUGAGACCCUGAGCUUAUCCCCUGAAGUCCCCAGUGUAACUAUAUUAUUGCCAUCUGGAGGGCUACUCUUGUGCACAGCAGAAGUGGGACAACACUCCCCACCCCCUGGGACAUUAGUGGUAUGAAAAGUUACAGAGUUUUCCUGCAGGACAUGCACCUACUACAAACGAAGUAUUAUGACCAACCAAAAACUUUUGCAGGUGCCAACGGUGUUGGAAUUGUGAUUGCAUAUAACCGCCCUGAUUACGUGAGCACAGACCAUGAUGAAUGCUUGAUAAAAAGUACGUCCGCAGGGGCCCUCAAAUGCAAGAGUCUGAUAACUGUUUAUUUCUUCUGCUUUUCCCCAAGUUAAUUGGCCAUAGUAGAGAGUAACAAGCUUGGGAAAGUUUUCUUAAAAGAGGACAGGUUAGAUAAACAACCUCUGGGCGGAUCUAUCAGCAUGAUGCUGAAGCUUACGUAGGUGGAGAGAUGCACAGCCGUCAUAGUUUAUUGUUAUUAUGAGCUUGGUCUGUGUUCGUGCAUGGCUUGUGAAAUGGGGGCAAGAAUAUAUGUCUGAGACUUAGACUCUUGUUGGCCACUCGGUUUUUUGUGUUCAUGUCACAGAUUCUAAACAAAAGCUAGAAGUGAAGUGGUUGUAAGGAAAUGCUCAGAGAGUUUGAAAGUGGUGUUUUAGCAGCGGCCUUUUCUCUUGAGUGUCCUUCUAGCAUCUGUAUCAUUAACAACAGAGAUGAAAUGGUUUUAGGAAAGGAAAGCUCUUUCAGAAAGCAUUUUUUUCUGCAGGCAUUCCUAGCACCAAAAAGCAUUGGCAAGAGUAGGCCUAGGGAAGAAGCUGCAGAAAAUAUGUAUUCCAUGGCAAAGGAGCUGUAGGAACAAAUGCCAAAAGGUCUAACUUAACUUCACUUUCUCUCAGCCUUAGUUCCCCAUUCGUAAAAUGGCACGAUAAGCUACCAUAUGGAUUGAUGAAAUACAGUUUGUAAAGUCCUACUUAACCUUCUCAAUAUUUUUUGCUGUUGAUAGUUUGUAAGGAUCUGCUUCUGUAGACUUGAACCAUCAAUUUAUGUAAUCUUUGCAACAAAGGGUGAAAGAGGAGAGCGCAAAAUAUGGUCUGAAGCUCAACAUAAAAAAAAAACGAAGAUCAUGGCCACUGGGCCCAUCACCUCCUGGCAAAUAGAAGGGGAAGAAAUGGAGGCAGUGAGAGAUUUUACUUUCUUGGGCUCCAUGAACACUGCAGUAGUCACGAAAUUAAAAUACGCCUGCUCCUUGGAAGAAAGGCGAUGGCAAACCUAGACAGCAUCUUAAAAAGCAGAGACAUCACCUUGCCAACAAAGGUCCGUAUAGUUAAAGCCAUGGUUUUCCCAGUAGUGAUGUAUGGAAGUGAGAGCUGGACCAUCAAGAAGGCUGGUCGCCGAAGAAUUGAUGCUUUUGAAUUAUGGUGCUGGAGGAGACUCUUGAGAGUCCCAUGGACUGCAAGAAGAUCAAACGUAUCCAUUCUUAAGGAAAUCAGCCCUGAGUGCUCACUGGAAGGACAGAUCGUGAAGCUGAGGCUCCAGUACUUUGGCCACCUCAUGAGAAGAGAAGACUCCCUGGAAAAGACCCUGAUGUUGGGAAAGAUGGAGGGCACAAGGAGAAGGGGACGACAGAGAACAAGAUGGUUGGACAGUGUUCUCGAAGCUACAAACAUGAGUCUGACCAAACUGUGGGAGGCAGUGGAAGACAGGAGUGCCUGGCAUGCUCUGGUCCAUGGGGUCACGAAGAGUCGGACAUGACUGAACGACUAAACAACAACAACAACAAGGAUCUGUUUCUGUAGACUUGGACCAUCAGUUUAUGUAAUCUUUGCAACAACUCUGCGAGAUAAAAUAUUAUCACCUCUGUACAGCAGAUAAGGGGCUGAAUAAUGGCCUAACUUUACCCAUGGACCAAUGCAGUGGUUCUCAAAGUUUUUAUAGUGCUGGAAUCCUUUACAAAAUUUUGGCAGAACCUUUACAGUAAAAUUUAAUUUUUAUUUUUUUAAAAAAGCAAAGCAAAACAGAAUGGGGUUGAUUAUUGGGAGAUCAAGGAAGGGAGAGCCAGACAGAGUGGCAACUUUUAAAAUUAGUGACUUUGAGACUUAAAAAAACUUGGCUGUUGGUCUCCUCAUCUCUGAUAGGAGAAGCCUAUGCUUUGCUCCAGCUCAUUGGAAAGUGCAAAGAUUCCUAUGAUGUGGGAUGGCACAGGCAGCCUGGCAUUUAUAUUCUAUACAAUUAAAUAUCCUGUUGGACUGUUUAAAAUCUAUUAUUUGUCUCUAGUGUUACUUGAAAUGGUUUCCAUGAAAGGAAGUUAAUACCCUCCUCUGUAGACUCUGAACUAUUUAGCACAUAUAUACAAAAAAAACCUAAUAUAUACUCUCCUGGAUUCUUUUCAAGGAACGGUAGAGCCUUGUGAAAUCUCUUAGACUGCAAUCCUGUGCACACUUACCUAGUAAUAAGCCCCAUUUAACUUAAUCGUACUUACUGAAUAUACAUGCAGUGGAUUGUGCUGUUCAUCAUGUUUUAAAACACAAGUUCCUGUUUCAGUUGAAUACUUUCUUCCUAAUCUGCUCCUUGCAUUUGAGAACUUUGUAUGGAUUUCCCCUCAUCAAACUUCCUUUGAGACUAGCAGCUUUGACAUGUGAGUGUAUUUGAGAACAUGCUGGCUCAGCAGAACCUGUGAGGUCCUCAUUUGUCUUGUGAGAAAAAGGACACAGAAUUCUCCUCCAGAAUUUGGGACAAGGCUACCUGCUUUGAGCACCACGUCCUAUUUUCAAAUUUUAUGCCAAUGCAUUCUUGGCUUUUAUGUUUCAGGAGACAUCUUUUGUUUCUUCCACUAAUUUGAGGGGAAAUAAUUUCUGUAAUCUUGUAGGGGAUUUUUUUUUUGGGGGGGGGGAAAUGAAGCACAGUGCUAGUAACAUAACUACCAGGGGCACCAAAUCACUGCUCCUUUUUAGCUACGAUCAAGGUCCACAAAAAGCUGUGAAAAUGAAUAAUGUAAUGCAUUUUGUGUGUUAUUUUCGAUAGUAUAUGCAUUUUGUGCAAACUUUGCCCUGGUAUAGGCAUAUCUGUGGUUUGCCAGGGAUAGUACAGCAUUAUCAUUCAUGAAGCCCAACGCAUAAUUAGAAGAUUUUUAAUGGUUUUGGCUUCAGUCCCCAGCAGAGCUCAACAUCACUUAAUGAUGGUUCCUGCACUAUUUUUGUUAUGUAGUAACAUUAAAACUACUUUGAGCAGAUGUAAAGGCGUGAGCUGCAGUGACCAGGAACAGGUCCAAACCAUGCAGGAGAAUGAAGCUAUGAUUACUCAGAGCAAGAAGACUCAUUUGCUCAGAACUAAUGGCCAAGAUGAAGUCUGACAGGUCCACACAAGUGGGCUACUCUCCCAGCAGGGAAUUUACAAGGUCUUGCCUUAUGUAGCCACUUCCACUUACUAAUGGAAAUGAAAACCAGAUAUGCCCUUCCCAGCAGCUGCCUCGCCACCACCAGAGCUUUGCAUAACUCUUGCUCCACCGUCCUUCUCUAGGGGAGCUCUAUAAAAUAAACAGAUUCAUUACAUGCGGAUUUCCUCUUCCUCUCCUCUGGUUAAACAAAAAGCCUAUUAGAAACAGAAACACACACAUGCACAAUGUAAUUAUGCAUAUAUAUAUAUACAUACAUACACACAGCACAAAAGGGGUAUGCAUACACACAAAAACAUGCACAGCACAAAAAUAUUCACUUCUCUCUCUCUCUCUCUCUCUCUCUCUCUCUCCAUAGUUUUGCAAAUAUGUAGCUUUAUAGUUCCAUGCACACUUUAGCAAAUGCAAACCGUGUAGUAGAAGGUUCAGUUUGCAUCUUUAUUUUGUUUGUGAUGUUUCUACUUAGGUGGGGUUGCCAUAUUUCAAAAAGUAAAAUUCCUGACACACGCAAAGUUCUUGAGCUUUUUUGGGGGGACGGAACCUCCCCCCAAAACAGUGAUUUUAAGCUUUUGGAGCUGUUUCCGCUGCUCUUCCCAUCACAUUGCCAUACAGAUAAAAUUUUGCAGAUAAAAUCGCUCAGAUUCGGGAAGAAGUAGACUCCACCGUGGGAGCAGGGCCGGGGUGGGAGAGUGCUAGAGACCUGUCUAGUCAAGUUGCGUGGGAUCAAUUCCAACCUGUUACCUCCGAGGAUGUGUACAGGCUGCUUGGAUGAGUGAAGCCAACCACCUGUCUCCUGGAUCCUUGCCCAUCCUGGCUUAUAAAAGCUAGCCGGGGUUUCAGAAUGAGACAGGUUUAACAGUGGUUAAGAAAGUUAAAUACCUGGGGAUUAACAUGACAGCAAAAAAUGGGAAUUUAUUUAAAGAUAAUUAUGAAAAAUGUUGGUCGGAAGUGAAAAAAGACUUAGAAAUUUGGUCAAAUUUGAAGCUUUCACAGCUAGGCCGUAUUGCUGCGAUAAAAAUGAAUGUAUUGCCUAGAAUGUUGUUUUUGUUUCAAACUUUGCAGAUUGUCGACAAAAUGGAUUGUUUCAAGAGGUGGCAGAAAGAUAUUUCUAAAUUUGUCUGGCAGGGCAAGAAGCCCAGAAUAAAAUUUAAAAUUUUAACGGAUGCAAAGGAAAGAGGCGGAUUUGCCCUGCCAGACCUUAAACUUUACUAUGAAUCAGCAGCUUUUUGCUGGUUGAAAGAAUGGCUACUUCUUGAAAACACUGACAUUUUGGACUUGGAAGGUUUUAACAAUGUAUUUGGAUGGCAUGAAUAUUUAUGGUAUGAUAAGGUCAAAGCACAUAAAGCAUUUAGAAACCACAUUGUCAGGAAAGCGCUAUUUAAUGUUUGGCUAAGAUAUAAGGAUUUGCUAGAAAAUAAAACCCCAAGGUGGCUGUCACCAAUGGAAGCGAAAGCCUUGAAAAAGGUCAAUAUGGAGGUCAAAUGGCCGAAAUAUUGGGAAAUUUUGGAACAAGAUGGAGAUAGACUGAAAUUGCAGAGUUUUGAAAAAUUAAAAAACAAGGUGCGAGACUGGCUUCAUUAUUAUCAGAUAAUGGAGGCAUUUAAAUUGGACAAGAAAAUUGGCUUCCAGGUCGAAAGAUCCAAAUUAGAAACAGAACUGUUAGAACCCAAAACUAAGAAUUUGUCAAGAAUGUAUACCUUGCUGCUGAAAUGGAAUACUCAGGACGAAACGGUAAAAUCGGCUAUGAUUAAAUGGGCACAGGACAUUGGACAUAACAUUAUGUUUGCUGACUGGGAACAGUUGUGGACCACAGGUAUGAAAUUUACAGCAUGUAAUGCCUUAAGAGAGAAUAUUAUGAAAAUGAUAUACAGGUGGUACAUAACCCCAGUCAAGCUUGCAAAAAUUUAUCACUUGCCCGAUAACAAAUGUUGGAAAUGUAAAGAAACUGAAGGUACAUUCUUCACCUUUGGUGGACGUGCCCAAGGAUUAAGGCUUUCUGGGAAAUGAUAUAUAAUGAAUUAAAAAGGUAUUUAAGUAUACCUUCCUAAGAAACCAGAGGCCUUUCUCCUGGGCAUAGUCGGCCAAAUGGUGUUAAAAAAGGAUAGAACUUUCUUUAUGUAUGCAACAACAGCAGCAAGAAUACUCAUCGCAAAGUAUUGGAAGACACAAGAACUUCCCACGCUGGAGGAAUGGCAGAUGAAACUUAUGGACUAUAUGGAACUGGCGGAAAUGACUGGUAGAAUCCGUGACCAGGGAGAAGAGUCGGUGGAGGAAGAUUGGAAGAAAUUCAAAGACUAUCUUCAGAAACAUUGCAAAAUUAAAGAAUGUUAGAGUGAUGUUGGACUGAAAAUAAGCGGUUUCCAGCUGUACAGGUUAAAGUUAAAUGAUAGACCAAGAUUAAAGAUUAGGAUUAAAGAUGUUUAAAGAAAUGGAAAUUUGACAAUUAAGAGGGAAAAUUUUAAUGUUAUAUUAUACUAAGAUUAAAGAUCAGGUUUAAAGAAGUUGAAGCUAUAUAUUUUAAUAUUAUAUUAAAGUUAAAGAUUGGGAUUAAAAAGUGGAAAAGACAUUGCUGGACAAACAAUUUGGAUUGGAAUACAAAAGAGGGAGGUAUGAGGAAGUCCAGAAAAUAAGUAAACUAAAAAAAGGAAAUGGAAAAGAGAUAUUGUUUUUUUUAAUUGUUACGUUUUUUGUUUAUUAUUGUUGAAUCUUGCUUUUUUUUGUGUGUUUUUGUUAUCUUUUUUUUUUAGAUGUCUUUCUUUUCUUUCUUUGUUGUUUAAAACUUUAAUAAAAAUUAUUUAAAAAAAACAAAAAAACAUAUAAAAGCUAGCCGGGAAGGACUGGGCGAUGGGCUUCGUGGGGUGGUGAAUGCUUCCCUCCGCGAGGGAGCCUUCCCAGACCCGCUGAAAGAGGCGGUUAUUAAACCGCUUCUUAAAAAACCAUCUUUAGAUGCGGCCACGAUGGCCAACUAUCGCCCAGUCUCAAAUCUUCCAUUCUUGGGCAAGGUGAUUGAGCGAGUGGUUGCUGAACAACUCCAGGCACGCCUGGAGGAAGCGGACCAUUUGGAUCCCUUCCAGUCGGGAUUCAGGCCUCAUCAUGGGACUGAAACUGCCUUGGUCGCACUGGUUGAUGAUCUCCGGCGGGCUAGGGACAAAGGUGAGAGCUGUUUCCUAGUUCUGCUGGAUCUCUCAGCGGCGUUUGAUACCAUCGACCAUAACAUCCUUCUGGACCGUCUUGAGGGGCUGGGAGCUGGGGGCACUGUUAUACAGUGGUUCCGCUCCUUCCUCCUGGGCCGUGUUCAGAAAGUGGUGGGGGGGGAUGAGUGUUCAGACCCCUGGGCCCUCACUUGUGGGGUGCCUCAGGGUUCUGUCCUCUCCCCCAUGCUUUUCAACAUCUACAUGAAGCCGCUGGGAGAGAUCAUCAGGGGAUUUGGGCUGGGUGUUCAUCAGUAUGCAGAUGAUACCCAGCUCUACCUCUCUUUCAAAUCAGAACCAGUGAAGGCAGUGAAGGUCCUGUGUGAGUGCCUGGAGGCGGUUGGAGGAUGGAUGGCGGUUAACAGAUUGAGGUUGAAUCCUGACAAGACAGAAGUACUGUUUUUGGGGGACAGGAGGCGGGCAGGUGUGGAGGAUUCCCUGGUCCUGAAUGGGGUUACUGUGCCCCUGAGGGACCAGGUGCGCAGCCUGGGAGUCAUUUUGGACUCACAGCUGUCCAUGGAGGCACAGGUCAAAUCUGUGUCCAGGGCAGCUGUUUACCAGCUCCAUCUGGUACGUAGGCUGAGACCCUAUCUGCCUGCGGACUGUCUCGCCAGAGUGGUGCAUGCUCUGGUUAUCUCCCGCUUGGACUACUGCAAUGCGCUCUACGUGGGGCUACCUUUGAAGGUGACUCGGAAACUACAACUAAUCCAGAAUGUGGCAGCUAGACUGGUGACUGGGGGCGGCCGCCGAGACCAUAUAACACCGGUCUUGAAAGACCUACAUUGGCUCCCAGUACAUUUCCAAGCACAAUUCAAAGUGUUGGUGCUGACCUUUAAAGCCCUAAACGGCCUCGGUCCAGUAUACCUGAAGGAGCGUCUCCACCCCUAUCGUUCUGCCCGGGCGCUGAGGUCCAGCGCCGAGGGCCUUCUGGCGGUUCCCUCAUUGCGAGAAGCAAAGCUACAGGGAACCAGGCAGAGGGCCUUCUCGGUAGUGGCGCCCGCCCUGUGGAACGCCCUCCCACGAGAUGUCAAAGCGAUAAACAACUACCUGACAUUCAGAAGACAUCUUAAGGCAGCCCUGUUCAGGGAAGUUUUUAACGUGUGAUAUUUUAGUGUAUUUUUGGUUUCUAUGGAAGCCGCCCAGAGUGGCUGGGGAAGCCCAGCCAGAUGGGCGGGGUAUAAAUAAUAAAUUAUUAUUAUUAUUAUUAUUAUUACAUGGUUUUCCCUGACAUUUUGCUGAUUCGGCAAAAUUCCCCCCGACGCCAUUUUUACACCCCGAAACCCGGAUAUGUCAGGAAUUUUCCUGACGUAUGUCAAGCCUAACUUAAGGCCAAGCUGGAUCUCUGUUUCUCCAUAACAGCUUAAUCAGGAGAGGACCAGUGUCUCUGUGGGUGAGGAGUCUGUGUGUUUGAGACAUUGGAGAAUCAAUAUUAUUAUUAUUAUUAUUAUUAUUAUUAUUAUUAUUACUACCCCGUCCAUCUGGCUGGGUUUUCCCAGCCACUCUGGGCAGCUUACAGGACAUAUAAAAACAUAGUAAAACAUCUAACAUUAAUUUUUUUGGGGGGAUGAAUUUAAAUCUUUGGAUGGGGUUUUGCUUCCGUUGAAGGAGAAAGUAUACAGUCUGAUCCUGGAUACACCUGAGGCUCAGGUGGCCUUGGUGCUUUUCCUCAGCUUCAGCUGGUAUGACAAAUGUGGCCAUUCUUGUACUAGGAUAGUUUGAUCCUCGUAGUCCAGGCAUUGGUAACUUUAACUUCAACUUCAGCUUCAGCUUCAACUUCAACUUCAACUGGAUUACUGCAACCAGAGGCGGAGCUAGCUGCUCCGGCACCUGGGGAGCAGGGCGAGCAUCCCAGGGGGGCUGUGUGGAGAUGUGACACCCCCCCACCCGGGAUGACACCUUCCUCCACCAGUGACUGAAACGCACUUUAGGUGGGGCUUCCCUCAGGCUUGGUCUGGAAACUGCAGUUAGUGCAGAAUUCCACUGCACAAAUGCUGACACCAUGAAAGAUCCUACUGGCAUGUAAGAAUCUAAGAAGAGUCUGGGGGGAAAACAACCAUAUCACUUUAGCUAGACAUAGGGUGCUACCAAAUGGUGGCUAAGUAUUGUAAAUAGGUUUGAUUUUUCAAACUUAAACAGAAUUAUACGAUAACAAUAUUUCUGUUUAAGUUUGAAAAAUCAAUACAGAAUGUUUAAAAAAACUAAAAGCAAAAGAAUUUGAAAACGGUCCAUUCAGAUAUUGCCAAUGGGUAAUUGGCAACAAGAUUGUUUACGUUCUUGGAUUUCCCCUGAGAAACGUAAAUCUGGAUUAAAUGUGGGGCGGGGAUACAGGCUAGAAUUCAGAUGCUGGUGAUGUUGUUUGGAUGCUGCAGAAAUAUUGCAUUCACUUUAAAAAUGAGAACUGAACAAAAUCCUCAGGAAUCCCUAUUUCACAUUGAUGGAGACCAAUCAAGGUUUGAAAAAAGAAGCAGCUGAUGGCAGCGUGGCCACGUUCCUAGAAAAACAGAAGCCGUGUGGAAACAUUUCUUACCUUUGUUUGAGGCUCCAUCUCCCUUCUCACCACAAAUUGCUUCCAGGGACUGAGACAGCAACUAAGACCACAGAGUUCAGCCAGUGCUUCAAACAAAUUCUGGUUAACCAGGAAUCUCUAUCAGCUCCCACCAGCCUUGUGCCUACAUGCUUGCCUCAUGGCUGAGGGAAUUAUUUGGUUGCAUCUGACCUCCUGGAAGGGUGUGAGGUUUGAGGACCUUCCCAGAAAAAGCUCCGAGAUUAUUCUGUUUCCAUGGCCACAAAUAUCUACAUUUCUCUUCUCUGCAAUUGUUUCCCCCAAGUUUUUGUGUGCUGUUUUGCUGCCAUUGCCUAUCCACACCCAACAAACACUGAUGUCAAGUAGAAGGGGAAAAAAACUAUCCUGAGGGAAUGAUUUUUUAUUUUUAUUUUUUUGCUGUUUGGCAUUUUGAUCUUGAAUAAGCAAUGAUAUUGGUAUUCUAGCAGGCUGAUUUAUCGCCUAGCAGGAAAUAUGGUGUUUGAAAUCACCUCCUUUUACUGAUUCAAUAGAAUUCAACAAGUGAGAAGUCACCAGACAGUGCGUCCUGUGAGUAGGGGAACCAUCGUCUGACAGCACCAGGAUAGUGGUAGGUGGGAUUUCAGCCUUCCUGCUUCUUGCGGCACCCUUGCCAAAUCCUAUGGGAGGAUGGAAACUCUCACGGGAUUUUGCAAGGAAUUGAGCAGCUGUGGGCUUAAAAGUCUCAGCUGCACAGAAACCUGCGCUAUUUUGCCCCAUGUGCUCCCACGAGCUGUGAGGCCUCCUGCUGGAGAAGUCAUAAGAAACAUGCAUUUUACCUCAGAGGGUUCUGGAACUGGAAUGUUGGGAUCUCAUUAAUGACAGGCUUUGGCUUGAAUUGUUCAACCCAGGGAGGUUGGAUAAAAGCAUGGUUGCCCCAAAUGGAAGGGCCCUACUUCAUAACCCUCCCAAGAUGGUUCACUGGGAGUACAACCAGGGCAAGUGUCAUAGGGUUAGCUGCUAGUAUGGUCAUGACUGUGACUCACACGGGGGACCACACCCUAGUCAAAUCAUAACUAUGGGCAGUCUCAACUCCCAGGUAACAAAAAAGACAGCCCCUCUUCUGCCUUUGCCACCAAGAAACGACACAGUUCAGGAUGGUGUGAGCUCCCUGGGCUUGGCCCACAUCCCAAGGACCCAUUGAUCUCUCCUUGAUGCUCACAUCCACUGUCAAACAGCAGUUUGUCUCUGGGAAGGCUUCACCCAUGAUUUCCAGAUUCUAGCCAUGAGUCAGCAUUGCACCAUUGAUGCUCCCAAUCCAAUAUCAGUAAGGGGUAUGCUUCAUAUCACAGACAAAAUGAUAGCAAAGGAAGUCACAGUGGGCAGAAUCACUGGCCCCUUCUCUCUCUUCCCCCCCAGUUCUGGACUUGAGGAUUCCUACCUCCAUCAUCCCAGACAGUAUCCAAAAAGGCACCAGGUGAGUUCUGACUGAUUCACAACCCAAAGGGUUCUUCAAUUAAGGAUCUUGUACCACUUGAGCACUGCUCCAUCAGAUGUACCUCUUUCAGCAAGGUGGUGGAACUCAUGCAGAGCUGUGGCCUAGACCUUUUUGGCAAAAUCCGAUACCCAUGUGUGUUUUGGGUGCUUCCCAAUCAUCAGACUUAAUUCCAUUCCAAUAACAAAGGCUGCCUGGAAUGCUGACCCAACCUUUACACUUCUGCCAUGCCAUUUCCCUCAUGUAUAACCAAAUAAAAUUGUGGCCUG